This 397-nucleotide RNase P RNA is filed under the name Actinobacillus succinogenes. RNAcentral's name for it is "RNase P RNA component class A". It matches the Rfam family "Bacterial RNase P class A". From Rfam's summary of the family: Ribonuclease P (RNase P) is a ubiquitous endoribonuclease, found in archaea, bacteria and eukarya as well as chloroplasts and mitochondria. Lineage: Bacteria; Pseudomonadati; Pseudomonadota; Gammaproteobacteria; Pasteurellales; Pasteurellaceae. The record is from RNAcentral. RNAcentral also lists the same sequence under 1 other name.
CGAGUUGGUCAGACAAUCGCUGGUUUAUUGAAGCCCUUAAUACCGAAAGGUUAGCCUGAAACAGGUGAUAAGCGGGACAAGUAGACGAGAGGAAAGUCCGGGCUACAUAGGGCAGAGUGCCGGAUAACGUCCGGGGGGCGCGAGCCUACGACAAGUGCAGCAGAGAGCAGACCGCCGUUUUUAAUAAAACGGUAAGGGUGAAAGGGUGCGGUAAGAGCGCACCGCGCGGGUGGUAACAUUCCGCGGCAAGGUAAACUCCACUCGUAGCAAGACCAAAUAGGAACUCAAUGAGUGUGCCCGCUCAGAGUUCGGGUAGGUUGCUUGAGCGACGGAGCAAUUCGUCGCCUAGAGGAAUGAUUGUCCGCGACAGAACCCGGCUUAUCGACCGACUCAUUCA